UUAUUAAGGCCAUACAAGGUCAAGUGUUUGUUCUUAAGGUCAUACAAGGUCAAGUGUUUUGUUCUUAAGGUCAUACAAGGUCAAGUGUUUUGUUAUUAAGGUCAUACAAGGUCAAGUGUUUUGUUCUUAAGGUCAUACAAGGUCAAGUGUUUUGUUAUUAAGGUCAUACAAGGUCAUGUGUUUUGUUCUUAAGGUCAUACAAGGUCAAGUGUUUUGUUAUUAAGGUCAUACAAGGUCA
Molecule: long non-coding RNA, 238 nt
Organism: Homarus americanus (American lobster)
Lineage: Eukaryota; Metazoa; Arthropoda; Malacostraca; Decapoda; Nephropidae
Exons: 4
Source: RefSeq, a predicted model, not a curated record